GAAAGAAUAUCGGAGACGGAUGGGCAUGCGGCGCAUUAGCUAGUUGGCGGGGUAACGGCCCACCAAGGCGACGAUGCGUAGGGGUUCUGAGAGGGAGGUCCCCCACACUGGUACUGAGACACGGACCAGACUCCUACGGGAGGCAGCAGUGAGGAAUAUUGGUCAAUGGGCGAGAGCCUGAACCAGCCAAGUCGCGUGAGGGAGUACUGCCCUAUGGGUUGUAAACCUCUUUUGUCGGGGAGCAGAAGCCGGACGUGUCCGGCUGUGAGAGUACCCGAAGAAAAAGCAUCGGCUAACUCCGUGCCAGCAGCCGCGGUAAUACGGAGGAUGCGAGCGUUAUCCGGAUUUAUUGGGUUUAAAGGGUGCGCAGGCGGAUUUUUAAGUCAGCGGUCAAAUCGUGGGGCUCAACCCCAUCCAGCCGUUGAAACUGGGGAUCUAGAGUGUGCGAGAGGUAUGCGGAAUGCGUGGUGUAGCGGUGAAAUGCAUAGAUAUCACGCAGAACCCCGAUUGCGAAGGCAGCAUACCGGUGCACAACUGACGCUCAGGCACGAAAGCGUGGGUAUCGAACAGGAUUAGAUACCCUGGUAGUCCACGCAGUAAACGAUGAAUGCUACCUGUUUGGCCAGAUUGAAGGCUGA
This 638-nucleotide ribosomal RNA is filed under the name uncultured bacterium. Its description in RNAcentral is "bacterial SSU rRNA". It matches the Rfam family "Bacterial small subunit ribosomal RNA", at positions 202 to 842 of the family's 1533-position model. The record is from RNAcentral.